This is a long non-coding RNA of Lethenteron reissneri (Far Eastern brook lamprey), 3309 nucleotides long. RefSeq lists it as uncharacterized. The record is from RefSeq and is a predicted model, not a curated record. Lineage: Eukaryota; Metazoa; Chordata; Hyperoartia; Petromyzontiformes; Petromyzontidae.
GACCAGCAAAAAUAAAAUUGACUGGUAAAAAAAAAAGUGGUCAUAAAAAAAGUGAAAAAAAUUGGCCGGUAAAAAAGAUGAAUGGCGAUCAAAAAAGUGACCGGUUAAAAAAAGAGUGGCCAUAAAAAAAGUUACCGGUUAAAAAAGAAUGGCCAUUAAAAAAAGAGUGACCACAAAAAAUUGGCCCGUAAAAAAAGAAAGACCAGUCAAAAAAAAAUUGAUCAAUAAAAAAAUAAUUGGCCAUCACACAAAGUGAGGCGGUAGCGGCGGAGGUGGUAGGUGGCCCAUAAAAAAAAAGAGACCAGUGAAAAAAUUUAAUUGACUGGUAAAAAAAAAGUCGUAAAAAAAAGUAAAAAAAUUGGCCGCUAAAAAAGAUAAAUUGCCAUCAAAAAAAGUGACGGGUUAAAAAAAAGUGGCCAUUAAACAAAAAAAUUGCUGGUAAAAAAAAAAGUGGUCAUAAAAAAAGUGAAAAAAAAUUGGCUGGUAAAAAAGAUGAAUGGCGAUCAAAAAAAGUGACCGGUUAAAAAAAGAGUGGCCGUAAAAAAAGUGACCGUUUAAAAACGAAUGGCCAUUAAAAAAAGAGUGACCACAAAAAAUUGGCCCGUAAAAAAAGAGACCAGUCAAAAGAAAAUUGGUCAAUAAAAAACAACUGGCCAUCACACAAAGUGAGGAGGUGGCGGCGGCGGAGGUGGAGGCGACGGCGGCGGAGGCGGCGGUGGAGGCCGAGGCGGCGGAGGCGGCGGUGGAGGCGGAGGCGGUGGAGGCGGUGGUGGAGGCGGAGGCGGCGGAAGCGGAGGCGGCGGAGGAGGAGGUAGGUGGCCCGUAAAAAAAGAGACCAGCAAAAAUAAAAUUGACUGGUAAAAAAAAAAGUGGUCAUAAAAAAAGUGAAAAAAAUUGGCUGGUAAAAAAGAUGAAUGGCGAUCAAAAAAAGUGACCGGUUAAAAAAAGAGUGGCCAUAAAAAAAGUGACCGGUUAAAAAAGAAUGGCCAUUAAAAAAAGAGUGACCACAAAAAAUUGGCCCGUAAAAAAAGAAAGACCAGUCAAAAAAAUUGAUCAAUGAAAAAAUAAUUGGCCAUCACACAAAGUGAGGAGGUGGCGGCGGAGGUGGUAGGUGGCCCAUAAAAAAAAAGAGACCAGUAAAAAAAUUUAAUUGACUGGUAAAAAAAAAGUCGUAAAAAAAAGUCAAAAAAUUGGCCGGUAAAAAAGAUAAAUUGCCAUAAAAAAAAGUGACGGGUUAAAAAAAAGUGGCCAUUAAACAAAACAUUUGCUGGUAAAAAAAAAGUGGUCAUAAAAAAAGUGAAAAAAAAUUGGCUGGUAAAAAAGAUGAAUGGCGAUCAAAAAAAGUGACCGGUUAAAAAAAGAGUGGCCAUAAAAAAAGUGACCGGUUAAAAAAGAAUGGCCAUUAAAAAAAGAGUGACCACAAAAAAUUGGCCCGUAAAAAAAGAAAGACCAGUCAAAAAAAUUGAUCAAUGAAAAAAUAAUUGGCCAUCACACAAAAUGAGGCGGUGGCGGCGGAGGUGGUAGGUGGCCCAUAAAAAAAAGAGACCAGUAAAAAAAUUUAAUUGACUGGUAAAAAAAAAGUCGUAAAAAAAAGUCAAAAAAUUGGCCGGUAAAAAAGAUAAAUUGCCAUCAAAAAAAGUGACGGGUUAAAAAAAAGUGGCCAUUAAACAAAACAUUUGCUGGUAAAAAAAAAAGUGGUCAUAAAAAAAAGUGAAAAAAAAUUGGCUGGUAAAAAAGAUGAAUGGCGAUCAAAAAAAGUGACCGGUUAAAAAAAGAGUGGCCAUAAAAAAAGUGACCGGUUAAAAAAGAAUGGCCAUUAAAAAAAGUGACCACAAAAAAUUGGCCCGUAAAAAAAGAAAGACCAGUCAAAAAAAUUGAUCAAUGAAAAAAUAAUUGGCCAUCACACAAAGUGAGGCGGUGGUGGCAGAGGUGGUAGGUGGCCCAUAAAAAAAAGAGACCAGUAAAAAAAUUUAAUUGACUGGUAAAAAAAAAGUCGUAAAAAAAAGUAAAAAAAUUGGCCGGUAAAAAAGAUAAAUUGCCAUCAAAAAAAGUGACGGGUUAAAAAAAAGUGGCCAUUAAACAAAACAUUUGCUGGUAAAAAAAAAAGUGGUCAUAAAAAAAAGUGAAAAAAAUUGGCUGGUAAAAAAGAUGAAUGGCGAUCAAAAAAAGUGACCGGUUAAAAAAAGAGUGGCCAUAAAAAAAGUGACCGGUUAAAAAAGAAUGGCCAUUAAAAAAAGAGUGACCACAAAAAAUUGGCCCGUUAAAAAAGAAAGACCAGUCAAAAAAAUUGAUCAAUGAAAAAAUAAUUGGCCAUCACACAAAGUGAGGCGGUGGCGGCAGAGGUGGUAGGUGGCCCAUAAAAAAAAGAGACCAGUAAAAAAAUUUAAUUGACUGGUAAAAAAAAAAGUCGUAAAAAAAAGUAAAAAAAUUGGCCGGUAAAAAAGAUAAAUUGCCAUAAAAAAAAGUGACGGGUUAAAAAAAAGUGGCCAUUAAACAAAACAUUUGCUGGUAAAAAAAAAAGUGGUCAUAAAAAAAAGUGAAAAAAAUUGGCUGGUAAAAAAGAUGAAUGGCGAUCAAAAAAAGUGACCGGUUAAAAAAAGAGUGGCCAUAAAAAAAGUGACCGGUUAAAAAAGAAUGGCCAUUAAAAAAAGAGUGACCACAAAAAAUUGGCCCGUAAAAAAAGAAAGACCAGUCAAAAAAAUUGAUCAAUGAAAAAAUAAUUGGCCAUCACACAAAAUGAGGCGGUGGCGGCGGAGGUGGUAGGUGGCCCAUAAAAAAAAGAGACCAGUAAAAAAAUUUAAUUGACUGGUAAAAAAAAAGUCGUAAAAAAAAGUAAAAAAAUUGGCCGCUAAAAAAGAUAAAUUGCCAUCAAAAAAAGUGACGGGUUAAAAAAAAGUGGCCAUUAAACAAAAAAAUUGCUGGUAAAAAAAAAAGUGGUCAUAAAAAAAGUGAAAAAAAAUUGGCUGGUAAAAAAGAUGAAUGGCGAUCAAAAAAAUGACCGGUUAAAAAAAGAGUGGCCAUAAAAAAAGUGACCGGUUAAAAAAGAAUGGCCAUUAAAAAAGAGUGACCACAAAAAAUUGGCCCGUAAAAAAAGAAAGACCAGUCAAAAAAAUUGAUCAAUGAAAAAAUAAUUGGCCAUCACACAAAAUGAGGCGGUGGCGGCGGAGGUGGUAGGUGGCCCAUAAAAAAAAAGAGACCAGUAAAAAAAUGUAAUUGACUGGUAAAAAAAAAAGUCGUAAAAAAAAGUAACAAAAUUGCCCGGUAAAAAAGAUAAAUUGCCAUACAAAAAAGUGACGGGUUAAAAAAAGU